This 87-nucleotide transfer RNA is filed under the name Clostridium perfringens. RNAcentral describes it as "tRNA-Tyr". It matches the Rfam family "tRNA". From Rfam's summary of the family: Transfer RNA (tRNA) molecules are approximately 80 nucleotides in length. Their secondary structure includes four short double-helical elements and three loops (D, anti-codon, and T loops). Further hydrogen bonds mediate the characteristic L-shaped molecular structure. tRNAs have two regions of fundamental functional importance: the anti-codon, which is responsible for specific mRNA codon recognition, and the 3' end, to which the tRNAs corresponding amino acid is attached (by aminoacyl-tRNA synthetases). tRNAs cope with the degeneracy of the genetic code in two manners: having more than one tRNA (with a specific anti-codon) for a particular amino acid; and 'wobble' base-pairing, i.e. permitting non-standard base-pairing at the 3rd anti-codon position. Lineage: Bacteria; Bacillati; Bacillota; Clostridia; Eubacteriales; Clostridiaceae. The record is from RNAcentral.
GGGAAGUUAUUCUGUAGUUGGUAGCAGGGUAGACUGUAAAUCUAUUACCGUAAGGUUCGGGGUGUUCGACUCACCCACUUCCCACCA